AUUCGGAGGGUGCAAGCGUUAAUCGGAAUUACUGGGCGUAAAGCGCGCGUAGGCGGUUUGGUAAGUCGGAUGUGAAAGCCCCGGGCUCAACCUGGGAAUUGCAUUCGAUACUGCCAGACUAGAGUAUGGUAGAGGGAAGUGGAAUUCCGGGUGUAGCGGUGAAAUGCGUAGAUAUCCGGAGGAACACCAGUGGCGAAGGCGACUUCCUGGACCAAUACUGACGCUGAGGUGCGAAAGCGUGGGGAGCAAACAGGAUUAGAUACCCUAGUAGUCC
Molecule: ribosomal RNA, 274 nt
Filed under: uncultured bacterium
Lineage: Bacteria
Description: partial 16S ribosomal RNA
Rfam family: Bacterial small subunit ribosomal RNA
Source: RNAcentral